This 73-nucleotide transfer RNA is filed under the name Camelus bactrianus (Bactrian camel). It matches the Rfam family "tRNA". From Rfam's summary of the family: Transfer RNA (tRNA) molecules are approximately 80 nucleotides in length. Their secondary structure includes four short double-helical elements and three loops (D, anti-codon, and T loops). Further hydrogen bonds mediate the characteristic L-shaped molecular structure. tRNAs have two regions of fundamental functional importance: the anti-codon, which is responsible for specific mRNA codon recognition, and the 3' end, to which the tRNAs corresponding amino acid is attached (by aminoacyl-tRNA synthetases). tRNAs cope with the degeneracy of the genetic code in two manners: having more than one tRNA (with a specific anti-codon) for a particular amino acid; and 'wobble' base-pairing, i.e. permitting non-standard base-pairing at the 3rd anti-codon position. RNAcentral also lists the same sequence under 2 other names. The record is from Rfam by way of RNAcentral. Lineage: Eukaryota; Metazoa; Chordata; Mammalia; Artiodactyla; Camelidae.
GUAUAUAUAGCUCAAGUGGUAGAGUGCAUGUUUGGCAUGCAUGAGGUCCCAGGUUCAAUCCCCAGUACCUCCA